This is a long non-coding RNA of Varroa destructor (honeybee mite), 871 nucleotides long. RefSeq lists it as uncharacterized. The record is from RefSeq and is a predicted model, not a curated record. NCBI's taxonomy places the organism in Eukaryota, Metazoa, Arthropoda, Arachnida, Mesostigmata, Varroidae.
UAGUUUAAACGGCGUCUCAUCAAUAGAAGAGACAAUGGAAAACAAUCUUUCUUUCAAGCCGCUGAUCGUAUUCAAUGCACUUCUUAAACGAAAAUCUGUGAUUUGAAGCACACGUAGUGUAUGUAGCACACGUACAGGAUACAGUUCGGCAGAUUUCAUUAAACAGUCAACUUUGAUACGACUGAGAAGCCUUUAUUCGAUCGUUAACUGCGACGAGGUAUCAAACCGAAGUGCAAUCGCACGCUAUAUGGCCAUGCAAUCAGCUGUUGUACACGCCGUGUGUACAAACGUGUUAAGUACCAUAGAUAUGCUUUCCGGAGUGACCUGUUUGAGGAUGCGUGAAAUCUUUCACAUCCACGUCUAUAUGUGAUCAUCAUAUACGUGUGCUAUAGUGCUAGCCGUCAGUGAAGAGAAAAGGGCGACCGCACCUUUAAGUCAAGUAUCGCAUCUGCAAUGUUCUAUCUCCGCCGCUCGCUUCGUUUUCAGUAGAAGCCCUGUCAAAAAAAAGAUUCACUCGAGGAGUUCCAGCUUUAUACGCAGAGUACGUAACAGUUGUUUGACGCGAUCGUUGCGCACCAUCCGACUACUCGAUCAAAAUACAUGUACCCGUAUUCGCAUUAAGUAUAGACGUGGUGCAAUACAAGAUAACUAAAGGCUUUUUGAGCUAUCCAGAAGACUGACAUCAUUUCGUUAAUCUUAAUCAAAGCGCGUCCAUACUGAAAAAAUAGGCGUCGCUAGUUUCGCUAGUGCCCAUUACCGUGGUAGCUAUGCCAUCGUCACUAAGUUUCCACACCUCUGAUGUAAACAACAAGGGCUCGUUGUUUUAUCUGCAAGUCCCGUUAAGUGUUUUUUGUUUGUAACUUGUGUUUGA